CACUUGGCAGAGGCUUGUACUGGCAUCUAAAGAGUAGAGGCCAGGGAUGCUGCUAACAUGUACAGGGCACAGGGCAGCCCUCCCCUACCACGAGGGGGCGGCCCCAGAUGUUAAUAAUGCCGAGGUGGGGAAACCCUAACAUAACUGAAACCUGUUUGGCAAGCCUGCCCACAUGUGCUGGGAUUCUGCGCAGGCUGAGACCCUUGCUAUGUACCUUCCUAUGAACUCCUGAUAUGUUUAUGUCAACAUUUUAAUGCUUUCAACAGUAUUUAUUGAAUGCCCACCAUGUACUGGGCGUUAUGUUUUGUUUAGCUCUGGAGACGCAGCAGGGAACCAGAUCAGGCCUGUCUGCGUGGAGCCCACAGUCUGCAGGGAGCACUUUUCUCAGUGGUUGUCUCUACCAGAAAUUUCAAGGAGUAUGAAAAAGUUUGACUCCUGACUGAAGGCUUCCCACAGGGACAACACUCACAGGGUUUGCUCCAGCAUCUCUGACCCACGGCAGAACCAUUUCCUCUGCAUUACGGCUGGACGACAUUUUCACUCAUGAACAACCAAGUCUGGAUCAAUCCGUUCCAAGUGCGCCACACUGACGGCUGUUUUCUUUCUUGGAGAACAGGGUGGCAUCUGGGUUCCAGAGAGCACAAAGCAGGCACCUUCUAAAGUCUUCGAGCUACACUUGGCAGAACAUCGCUCCCUCGCAUUCCGCUGGCUGAGCUGAGUGCCAGGAGCAGCCGAUUCAAGGGGCUGGCAGUACACGGGCGUGAGCACCAGCAGCCGCAGCUCAGCCGGGGCUCCUGCUGAGGACCAGCUCUCAGUACGAAGCUGCAACAAAGCGCGGCAGUCCUGCACCCCUUCUCACCUCCAAGCUCCCCAGAAACAACGGCUCCCGACUCUGCCUAGCGUUCCCCCUGACAGGAAAACUGAGACCACGUGGAGGUCAUCCAGCUGCCCUGGGUCACAGAACCUGCUGUGUGACCCUGGAUGAGAACCCAGCCUCCUGUCCCUGUACCCCUCAACUCAGCCAAGUAUUAUUUGUGGAUAAAUCCCAGGAGGGGACCCCUCGCCUUGCCUCUAAGACAUGAGGAAUUUCAGCCAGGGCUUUCAGAUAAAAACACAAAAAUGAGGAUUUGGUACACAAAAGCCCAGGGAUCCCCGAGUGUCCCACACAUGACUACAAGUGGAUCCUAAGGGUGGCGUUAACUCUUUCAGAUGUUCCUCUUGGUUACACCAACGUGAUGUGAGGAAGUGCCCUGUGCAUGGAGGAAAACAGGUAGCGGAGUUUUGUUGGACUCAGCAAAGCUGCCCGGACCUUUGCAAUGUGAAGUUCAAAGGCAGGAGGGCCAACUGGCAUAAGAAGCCCUGGAGCCUUCUGGAAGGAAAAGGUU
Long non-coding RNA from Miniopterus natalensis, 1385 nucleotides. RefSeq lists it as uncharacterized. The record is from RefSeq and is a predicted model, not a curated record. NCBI's taxonomy places the organism in Eukaryota, Metazoa, Chordata, Mammalia, Chiroptera, Miniopteridae.